This 635-nucleotide ribosomal RNA is filed under the name Acidimicrobiaceae bacterium TMED244. Its description in RNAcentral is "bacterial LSU rRNA". It matches the Rfam family "Bacterial large subunit ribosomal RNA", at positions 2292 to 2925 of the family's 2925-position model. Lineage: Bacteria; Bacillati; Actinomycetota; Acidimicrobiia; Acidimicrobiales; Acidimicrobiaceae. The record is from RNAcentral.
AAAAAGUAACGGAGGCGCUCUAAGGUCACCUCAGCGUGGACGGCAAUCACGCAUUGAGUGUAAGUGCAAAAGGUGGCUUGACUGUGACACAAACAAGUGGAGCAGGUACGAAAGUAGGAACUAGUGAUCCCAUGGUUGCAUGUGGGUGCGCCAUGGCUCAUCGGCUAAAAGGUACUCCGGGGAUAACAGGCUUAUACCCCCCAAGAGUCCAUAUCGACGGGGGUGUUUGGCACCUCGAUGUCGGCUCUUCUCAUCCUGGGGCUGGAGCAGGUCCCAAGGGUUAGGCUGUUCGCCUAUUAAAGAGGAACGCGAGCUGGGUUCAGAACGUCGUGAGACAGUUCGGUCCCUAUCCGUCGCGCACGUAAGAAAUUUGAAGAAAGUUGUCCCUAGUACGAGAGGACCGGGAUGAACGAUCCGCUGGUGUGCCAGUUGUUCUGCCAAGAGCACCGCUGGUUAGCUACGAUCGGACAGGAUAAGCGCUGAAAGCAUCUAAGUGCGAAGCCCCUUCUAAGAUAAGAUUUCUCAUCGGGUUAACCGAUUAAGACUCCUUAUAGAACAUGAGGUUGAUAGGUCAGAAGUGUAAUUACAGUAAUGUAUGUAGCUGACUGAUACUAAUAAGUCGAGGGCUUGAACUG